UACGGAGGGGGCGAGCGUUAUUCGGAAUUAUUGGGCGUAAAGGGCGCGUAGGCGGCUCGAUAAGUCAAAGGUGAAAUCCCUCGGCUCAACUGAGGAACUGCCUUUGAAACUGUCGAGCUCGAGUCCGGGAGGGGGUAGCGGAAUUCCCAGUGUAGCGGUGAAAUGCGUAGAUAUCAAGAGGAACACCUGCGGCGAAGGCGGGUUGCUGGGCCGACACUGACGCUGAUGCGCGAAAGCCAGGGGAGCGAACGGG
RNAcentral lists this ribosomal RNA (253 nucleotides) under uncultured bacterium. Its description in RNAcentral is "partial 16S ribosomal RNA". It matches the Rfam family "Bacterial small subunit ribosomal RNA", at positions 524 to 776 of the family's 1533-position model. The record is from RNAcentral.